UGGGGAAUAUUGCACAAUGGGCGCAAGCCUGAUGCAGCCAUGCCGCGUGUAUGAAGAAGGCCUUCGGGUUGUAAAGUACUUUCAGUCGGGAGGAAGGGAGUAAAGUUAAUACCUUUGCUCAUUGACGUUACCCGCAGAAGAAGCACCGGCUAACUCCGUGCCAGCAGCCGCGGUAAUACGGAGGGUGCAAGCGUUAAUCGGAAUUACUGGGCGUAAAGCGCACGCAGGCGGUUUGUUAAGUCAGAUGUGAAAUCCCCGGGCUCAACCUGGGAACUGCAUCUGAUACUGGCAAGCUUGAGUCUCGUAGAGGGGGGUAGAAUUCCAGGUGUAGCGGUGAAAUGCGUAGAGAUCUGGAGGAAUACCGGUGGCGAAGGCGGCCCCCUGGACGAAGACUGACGAUCAGGUGCGAAAGCGUGGGGAGCAAACAGG
This 429-nucleotide ribosomal RNA is filed under the name Chloroflexota bacterium. Its description in RNAcentral is "Chloroflexi bacterium partial 16S ribosomal RNA". It matches the Rfam family "Bacterial small subunit ribosomal RNA", at positions 355 to 776 of the family's 1533-position model. Lineage: Bacteria; Bacillati; Chloroflexota. The record is from RNAcentral.